Chrysemys picta bellii (western painted turtle) is the source of this 1978-nucleotide non-coding RNA. NCBI's taxonomy places the organism in Eukaryota, Metazoa, Chordata, Testudines, Emydidae. The record is from RefSeq and is a predicted model, not a curated record.
UUGUUGCCUAUCCAAAAGGGAGAACAUGCUGCUAGAACUCUUGAGAAUGCUGGUUCUCCCAAGUUUUCCAGCCCAACUUUGAAAGACAAGAUGUAGGUUUGUAUCCAUCUUUACUAGUACCUGUAGGUUCCUGCUUCAAUUUAACACCCCAUCCCCAUUUGCCCCCACUGGAGAAUGGAGACAGCACACAGUGAUCAGCAACCACCUCUCAAAGAAAAGAAGCAGCAGUCUGCCUUACGAAUGCGGCUACCAGAGAGAAAAAUGAGCCAGAAGUGGAGUUCCAUUCCCAAAACAGUUGUUACCCAAGCCUAUCCAAACAGUACCUGCAUCUGCCACUGAGACCGUUAGAGCAAAUGAGCUAACCGUGUGAGAAGUCAAAGCAACCGAGUGAGCAGUCUAAGGAGCUUCGUUAAGAAAGCAAUUUUCCCUGGAGAUGUGGAUUCAAAUGCCCCCAUCACCAGCCAGCUGAUACUCAGAUACCAUCGUGAUAGAGCUUUUUUUUUGGUUACAAUUUAUAAUAUCUGUGCUAUCUGUAUAGAGUUGGGUACAAAAUUUACAAUUCUCGCCCUCCUCCCCCCCUUUUUUUUUUCAAGAAGCAAAACCAAACCAAAUAGACCAAAAAAAAGUCUCUCCACCCAAACUACUCCUUCAAGCAGAUGCUUGAGAAAUUAGAUCAACCUGGCACUCUUCCCUGAAGUUCAGUAGAAUCAGCCUUUGUCUGGUAAGGGAGCGCUAACAAAUUCCAGUGUCACAGGGGGCCCCACUACUGAGAACCGUGUCCCCAGUCCCAGAUGUUUAAAAUCUAAAGACUAUUGUCUUGAGCACUUUAACUAAUCUCAGUUGCUACUGUGGUGUGUCUGGAGACAGAUUUUUUUCUCAAGAACAUAGGGUUUAUGCAAUGUAGGGCUCUAAAGCUCACUCUGCUGGAGCAGUGAACUCAUAACAUUUUCCUACUGACUUCUAGGUUUGCGGCUUUCCCUUUUUGUCCAUCCCUCAACUGACUAAUUUUUAGCCACUGUGCUGUUGGUGAAAGCUCAAAAGCAGCAGUGGAGUAGCGUUAAAUCAAUACAGCUUCCCAUGUUUAAUAAUCACCUCCUUUCUCAACUCACCCCAUACAUAAUUGAUUUGAAAAAUCCAUUAAAAACAAUGGGAGAACCAAAACUUUAGUCACCUUGUCCUUUUUUCCCCUCUUAGACCUGCACAACUUCUCUGAAAUGAAUCUCCCUUGGCUUUUACAGUAAAGAAUAAGAAUUCAGCACAAUGACCUUAGGUAAAGCUUUUGCCUUCUAUUUUAUUUUUAUCUUGGUUUUGCUCAUACAAUCUCCUUAUUGCUGCAGAAGUGACCAUUUUCAUUUCAAAGAGUUUUUGAAAAUAUUCUUGUUGAAGUUCAAUCUAAUUAAUUUUGUACUUGAAAAUGUCAUUCAAUUUUUGCAAACAGUGCAUUUAAAUAUUCAACAUGGUGAAUUCUUUUGCAACUCUAUUACAUCUCCUGUGCUGUCAAUCUUUUUCCAUGUGAUUUUAGUCCAAACUGAAUUUAAUGGACAUGGAAUUGAUUGAGUUUAUAUAAAUAAGAGACCUGAUCAGUCUACUUCUUACCAAGCAUUUUAACAUAUGAAAAAUUUUAAAAACAAACUUUUUUUGCUUUUAGCUAGCUUUUUCCUGAUGCAUUUUGUACCCUGAGAAAAGCAUUUGGUUGAUGUAUCUACUUAAGGUAGCAUCCUUUUGGAUUUUCAUAUUGCUAUUGGAUCAAUCCAGCACUUUUUGGUCAGACAAAACUCCGACAGGCCAAUAAUCUUAACUGCUAUUAUCCUUGCUUGUGUAGCUUCAUUAAGAAAGCAAAGGUUACUUUCACGGGACUUUUUUUCUUUCAGUGGUUCGUGUUUAUUAUUUACUAUUAUACAUCCAAUAUGAUAUGCAUCCGAAGAAGUGGGCUGUAAUCCACGAAAGCUUAUGCUCUAAUAAAUUUGUUAGUCUCUAA